CAGGUUUUGGAGAGUUCCACCAGGUGGAUGUGAAUCAUCUGAACGUGUGCAAACCAGAAAACAAGGAGUCCAUCCUGUAUCAGUUAACCCUGCAGUUCAUCCUGAGGAACGUUCCCAAGUCCACGCUGGCAGAGAAACUGGAGAGGCAACUGGACGAGAUCAUGGACAACGAGUACAUCUGGAGACACAUGCAGUUCUUGAAGUCAGAUCGAUGAGUGGUAAAGAGGGAAACCUAGCUGUUCUGAACAUUCAGGUGUGUACACAGACACGAAGGAUCUGUACUGUAACAGUAGUUUGAUAACAAGGGACAGGCAUGUACACUGUAGCCAUUACCUAAGAAAGUCUGUCAAGUUUGGUGCUACUGUUUUCUAAUGAGAUUGGUGCCAGUAAUGCUGCUAUAGUUGUUUUCCCGUAAAUCCAUAUCCCAACCAAUGAGUGUUCAUGAAGAUAGUUAUACAGAAACUAUCACACAUAUAAGAAAGACAAAAAUGGAUAAAACUUAAGGUAUAAACAUGCCCUGUGGAAACAAGAAAGCGUUGAACAGUCUAACAAUUUAACUGUGUCACCCAAGUCAAAUUGUUCUAAUAACAUUUACAUUUUUAUUUGCUCUGAAAGUGGUGUGAAAUGGCCGAGUGUCUAGUCUAACGGACACAGGAUUGAGAGAGCACGGGUUUGAAUCCAUGCAUUCCUGGCUAGACACCGUGUCCUUGGGAAAGGAGCCUUACACAACUUUCCUCACUUCACUCAUUUGGGGUAAAAAGGUACCUGACUUUGGUUGGGAAAUUAAAAGGUCUCUAUCUUCAUGUUGCCUUUUAUUAGCUUUUAGUAACAAUUUUGCAUGAAUGUUGCUUCUUUUUGAAAUACAUGACAUGAUAGAUGAUAAUAGCUGCAAUGCUUCAUGAACUGUUUUUCACUCAUUUUAUAAGAUGCUUUAGUUUUUAAUAUAUAGAGAAUGACAGAGUGAAUCUUUUAACUUAUGUACAUUUGUACCUACUUACUUUUUUCAGUUUGCAAUUUGGAUUUUUCAUUGCUUUACUUUGCUCAUAGUUUCAUUACAUCUUUUUAGACUUGAGAAGUUUAGAGCUACUUUUCUUCACUUUUUUCUGCUCCAGUUGCUAUUAGAGUUUGAAUUUUCAUUUUACCACAUACAUGUUUUCACACAUGCAAAUUCGUGAGCUUCAUACAGACAAUUAUUUUAAACGAACUUCAGUAGAACAUUGAAUAGCUUCAAUUGAUAUCAUAGAUUUAUGGGCUUUAAAAAGAGAGAGUGAUACCACCCUCCUAACAUGACAUUUGAACAAUCCCUGUCCCAUCACCCCCUGUCAGGAUAACUUGUGGAACAACCCCAAAACUAUUUUUACCUCAGGAGUGUCUUCAAUCAAGGACAUUUAUAUAUACUAGUAGUCCUUGCUUCAAUUGCCUGGAAGCCAGCAUUUUCAAGCAUGUUCAGUCUUUUCCAAAGAGUUUUAUUGAAAGUUUUAUAUUUGUGAACAGAUGGAACAGGAAUGUUGUAUAUAUGUGUCUGUACUCUGUAGUUAGCCAUAU
Branchiostoma belcheri (Belcher's lancelet) is the source of this 1545-nucleotide long non-coding RNA. RefSeq lists it as uncharacterized. The transcript has 2 exons. The record is from RefSeq and is a predicted model, not a curated record. NCBI's taxonomy places the organism in Eukaryota, Metazoa, Chordata, Leptocardii, Amphioxiformes, Branchiostomatidae.